GACAGAGGGUGCAAACGUUGUUCGGAAUUAUUGGGCGUAAAGAGCUCGUAGGCGGUUUGUCGCGUCUGCUGUGAAAACUGGGGGCUCAACCCCCAGCCUGCAGUGGGUACGGGCAGACUAGAGUGCGGUAGGGGAGAUUGGAAUUCCUGGUGUAGCGGUGGAAUGCGCAGAUAUCAGGAGGAACACCGAUGGCGAAGGCAGAUCUCUGGGCCGUAACUGACGCUGAGGAGCGAAAGCGUGGGGAGCGAACAGG
Molecule: ribosomal RNA, 253 nt
Filed under: uncultured bacterium
Lineage: Bacteria
Description: partial 16S ribosomal RNA
Rfam family: Bacterial small subunit ribosomal RNA
Source: RNAcentral